This 253-nucleotide ribosomal RNA is filed under the name uncultured bacterium. RNAcentral's name for it is "partial 16S ribosomal RNA". It matches the Rfam family "Bacterial small subunit ribosomal RNA", at positions 524 to 776 of the family's 1533-position model. The record is from RNAcentral.
GACAGAGGGUGCAAACGUUGUUCGGAAUUACUGGGCGUAAAGCGCGUGUAGGCGGUCUCGCAAGUCGGAUGUGAAAGCCCAGGGCUCAACCCUGGAAGUGCACUCGAUACUGCGAGGCUAGAGUCCCGGAGAGGAUGGUGGAACUCUCGGUGUAGAGGUGAAAUUCGUAGAUAUCGAGAAGAACACCGGUGGCGAAGGCGGCCAUCUGGAUGGUGACUGACGCUGAGACGCGAAAGCGUGGGGAGCAAACAGG